AUUGAACGCUGGCGGCAGGCCUAACACAUGCAAGUCGAGCGGAUGAAGGGAGCUUGCUCCUGGAUUCAGCGGCGGACGGGUGAGUAAUGCCUAGGAAUCUGCCUGGUAGUGGGGGAUAACGUCCGGAAACGGGCGCUAAUACCGCAUACGUCCUGAGGGAGAAAGUGGGGGAUCUUCGGACCUCACGCUAUCAGAUGAGCCUAGGUCGGAUUAGCUAGUUGGUGGGGUAAAGGCCUACCAAGGCGACGAUCCGUAACUGGUCUGAGAGGAUGAUCAGUCACACUGGAACUGAGGCACGGUCCAGACUCCUACGGGAGGCAGCAGUGGGGAAUAUUGGACAAUGGGCGAAAGCCUGAUCCAGCCAUGCCGCGUGUGUGAAGAAGGUCUUCGGAUUGUAAAGCACUUUAAGUUGGGAGGAAGGGCAGUAAGUUAAUACCUUGCUGUUUUGACGGUACCAACAGAAUAAGCACCGGCUAACUUCGUG
This 484-nucleotide ribosomal RNA is filed under the name uncultured bacterium. Its description in RNAcentral is "partial 16S ribosomal RNA". It matches the Rfam family "Bacterial small subunit ribosomal RNA", at positions 30 to 507 of the family's 1533-position model. The record is from RNAcentral.